CCACAGCCACAGCAACUUGGGAUCUGAGCCACGUCUGCCACCUAUACCACAGCUCACAGCAACACUGGAUCCUUAACCCACUGAGCAAGGCCUGGGAUCAAACCUGUGUCCUCAUGGUUGCUAGUUGGGUUCAUUAAUCACUGAGCCAUGAUGGGAACUUCUCAUUCAGAUGCUUUGAUUCAUCCAUCUGACUCAGUAGUUUCCAGCUGGGGUAUGUGUGUGUGUAUGAGAGAUAGCAACAGAGACCAGAAGGAUUUUGCUUCCUUGGGGACAUUUGGCUAUGUCUGGAGACAUUUUUGGUUGUUAGAUGGAGGGUCCUACUGGCCUCUAAUGGGCAGAGGCUAAGGAUGCAGCGAACAUCCUGCAAAGCACAGAACAGCCCACAGAGCAGCAAAUUAUCUGACCCCGAGUUUCAGUAGUCCUGAGAUUAGAAACCCUGAACUAACUCUAAGUGCCAGGUAAAUACUCAAGGGUGCGAUGUUUUUGAAGGACACAUACAGAUGCUUUUUCCCAGAGUGCCAUCAAGAAAAUGAGAAUUCCUUGAUAAUUUACAAGUUCCAUCCAUCAUCAGUAGAAAAGAAUUUUUUUCAUGAAAAUUGUUUAAGGAGGACGUGGCUAAUUUUGACUGAAAUAUUUGGGGGAGAAAUAAUUGAGCAAUAUCUUUUUCCUUUCCCUGAAUCACAGUGGAUCCUUCCAAUUCUGGGGAUGAUUGGAACUUUCCUAGGGAGGCCCCUGAGAGCAGUGGAAGGACAGGAGCGCUGGCCCACAGAGUGACAUGGAGACCUUCUGAAAUUGGGUGAGCUGCUUCUUUCUGGAAUCACCCUUCAGAAGUCCCCUUAAACAGAGCUCGGUAAGUUUGUAUAUUUAGCAGGAGUGGGCUUGACAGAUUAAGGGGGGUGGAAAUCUCAGGGGGAGAGCAACUCUGGAAUCAUUGGAAUCACACCCAAGAAGUUUCCAGAAAUAGGAGAUGCAAAGAUGUCAGGAGUCAAUAAAUCAUGGAACUGGACAGAAAAGGGGGAAAACAGGCAAGAAUGAACAAGAGGUUGUUGUGAACACAGCCAGGGCUUGUCAUCUGUGGGGAGGGGGUCCAUCUGUUUAUCUGAGAGGCUCCAGGUGAGAUAAGAAUCAGAUGAAUACAUUUAUAAUCCUGAUUUGAGGGAGUUCCUGUCAUGGCUCAGUGGUCAACCAACCCUACUAGUAUCCAUGAGGAUGCGAGUUUGAUCCCUGGCCUUGCUCAGUGGGUUAAGGAUCCAGCGUUGCCAUGACCUAUGGUGUAGUUCUCAGACACAGCUCAGAUCUUCUGUGGCUGUGGCGUAGGACCAUUUGACCCCUAACCUGGGAACCUCCAUAUGCCUCAGGUGCAGCUCUAAAAAAAGACAAAAACAAACAAACAAAAAACAAUAAUCCCGCUUUGGCUUUGACUCCGGAGAUGACUCUAGGCCUCCUCUCUAAAGCCUUGCCCUUCUCCAUAAUCUGAAAGAAAGAAAAGCUCCACAGCUUGAGGCAGAAACCACAGUGCUGUCCUGUGUCACACUGGCGAGGUGAGGCCAGCACAGGGAAAAACAUGCCCGCGUACUCCCGCUCAGCCUGCCCCAACCCUUAGAAGCACUUCCGCUCUGCAGAGGCCGGUCCUCGAUGCCGCCACGUGACACGUGACAUGACCACAGACUGGAAGCAAGACCAAAAGGACACCAUGUACCUGAGGCCAUGUCUGCACAAAGACUCAAGAAGGGUGGAUUCCAAGACACACGGGGCCUGCAGACCCUGGGCAGAAGCCGGGCUGUGCCAUACUGUACUUAGCCUCUGCUCUCCAAUUUCAUCAUUGCUGGCUCAAAAUGGGCCUGCAAUUUUCAUUUCUUUAUGGGCUUAAGUAAUCUAUUGCAAAUGUCACCGGCAGGCUGUAAUGCAUUCUUGCCGAGGAAACUGUUCUUUUUCUUCAGUAACUUUCUGGUUGAAGAUUUGCCUGGCUGGGUAACUGUUUUACAUUAGCUGUAAUGGUGUUUACAUUGGAUGCACCGAUGUUUAAAUCACUGGACAUAUUUGUUAUUAGUAGGGAGGCAGUGGCAUUGUUUAGUCCGAGUAUCUGGGUGGUGGGGGGGAGGCGCUUCUAUUAGUAUUGAUAAUAUUUUACAAGAGACCUCGCAGGGAUGUUUAUAAUAAUAGCAACGCUGUUUAUCUUACCGGGAUUAUGUUGAAGCAACUUUAAUUGUAUUCAUAUUAAACAUAUCAAUGUUAGAACUGAUGUAAUAUGUUUAGCAUUAAUAUGAAGGUUGCUAAGUUGGGGGCUUUUGAGAUAGAAUUAAAGGGCCAGGAAGACAAUGGGACAUAUGGAAAGCAUUUGGGGGGUUUCUGUUCUUGUCUAACAAGAAGGAUUAGUGCGUUUGCCGAAAUACAGUAUAAGAUGUACAGUGGGUUGUAAUGCUAGCAUCUGUUUCCCUUACGAUCGAGUUCUCUUGGCUUGUGUGUGCGCGCGCGAUUGCUCUGGAGUCCUCGCUUCUCACAAGCUCCACCAAAGCCCAAAUGUCAGGGAUACUUCAGAUGCUUUGCAGCUGGCUGUCGCACCCAGAGAUGUUUCAAAAUGGAUUUUGUAAUGGCUUAUAAAAGUCCCACAUUGUGCACGGGCGGUUAUUGAGAGUGAUAUACUGUGCACAAGAAUGUUCCAAAUUCCCUCCGCGCUGUAUCCAUCAAUCGGGCUCUAUUAGGGUUGGCAGGAUAAUGGCUGGAGUGCAGCUCUGGACUUUAUCUUCAGCUGAAAGAAGCAUCCUAAUUAUCUACUCAUCAGAGCUACCCCACUCCUGGCUCAAGGAGCCCACUGCCAGCUCAGGCCCAGAAAUUCCAGAUCCUCACAGUCACCAGCCAGGCCCACGAAGGCCGAGAUGCAAGACUGUGUCCAGCCCAGCUGGGGAUUCGUGGGCCCAAUAAGCCCUGGAAAUCCAUCUCACUCCCCAGCUGGAGGCACCGUCCGGUUAACCCUUCAAGGCCCAUAUUCCGUGCUCCUGCUUCCGGUCCAGUUCUGUCCGGGGCUCCGACCCGGCUCCAGCAAGUCAGGAGCCCUGGUUUUGUGCAAUGUGGGGACAGGAGCUGCACCUCCCUCCAGAGGCCGGUGGGGGGAUGAGAUGAGAGAACAUGGGACAGCACUUAGCCGAGUAAAUCAGCACAUCAUGCACUCAUUAUUGGUCCAAUUAGAAAACCUAGCGGAGCAUUAGGACCUUACAGGAAAUGAAUGUUUUUCUGGAUAGAGGCAUGUCCACUUUCUAGUAGAGUACGCAAAUAGUAUUUAUAAAGAAUUUUCUUCUUUCCCCGCCACUCCUCACAAUUAAUAUCCUGUAAGCGUGUAUUCUUAUCAUUAUUUUCAUUCCUGUUUAAUUGAUGAGGAAACUACAACUCAGAAGAGAUGAUUUGCCCAUUUGCUCCCUGAUUAUUUCCUGAAUUCCUGCAUGCUGGCCAUUCAGGCUGCAGAGUUCAGGGUCCCUACCUCACUGCAGUUACCAAGCAGCUCAGAGAGGAAUAAACAUGCAGGCUCACCAGCUCCACGUGCCUUUUCCUAAGUCACCAUGCUACUUCCCUUCCAGAAAGUUCCCAGGAGGUCUGCAAAUGUGGGAAGGGGUUGAGUGAAGCACAUGUAUAAAUAAGUAUGAUGUGACGUGCAAAGGACUUAGGAGCCACAAGAGAUGGUGGUGGUGGUGGGAUUUGAGAAAAGAGACACUUGUUGGUAGAAAGAAAGGCUUCGUGGAGGAGGUGGAAUUUGCGCUGUGCUUGGGAAAUCGAUACAUUUAAAUAUGCAAAAGGAGAGAAGAGCAUUCUGGGCAGAGGAGACGGGGGAGUGAAGAUAUAGGGGCUGGAAACAGGAGGAACGUGUGGGGAAUAGCAGGUGGUAUCCUUUGGAUUCAAGUAAUGUGAAGGCAGAUCCCCGAGUGCUGAUCUGUAGGAGGAGAUCAGGGCAAGCUGAGGAGCUAGGCUUUUCCCUUCAGGAAAUGGGGAGCUGUGGAAGGUUUUAGAGUGGGAGCAUGACCUAUCUGAGCAGAGCUGAUUUUUCAGAAGAUUUAACUGAAAGUUUUGGAUGAAGCAGGUAGGAGGGAGAGGAGCAGGUGUAUCUGACGGCACAGAAAUCCAGGCCAAGUGAGGGAGGAGGAGUGGGAAGGAACAGAGAAUAUACAUUCCAGAGAGACCAGAGGUAGAAAUGUCACCACAUAUGACUGUUUCCUCCCUCUGCUCCUUGGAGGGGCAGCAGCUCAAAUGAGAGAAACUGCAGAGCAAGCCACGUGGCAAGUCAUGUGCCAGCAAGGUUCAGCCCAGGUUGUGUUUCCCAAGCUGGUGGGUAGCGUCUCUCUCUCACCUUAGGUAUAUACUUGGGAGGAUGUAGUAUUUUGCUUGAGCUGCCAUAGCAAAGUGCCACAGAGGGUUCUUAAACAAUAGAAAUGUAUUCUCUCACAGGUCUGGAGGCUAAAGUCCAAGGUCAGGGUGUCCACAGGAUUGGUUUCUUCCAAGGCCUCUCUUUGGCUUGUGGAUCUGUCUUUUCUGUGUCUUCACAUGGUCUUCCCUCUGUACCUGUGUCCACAAUUCCUCUUCUUCUAAGGACACCAGUCAUAUGGAUUAAGACCCACCCUAAAUGGCCUCAUUUUAACUGAAUCACCUCUUUAAAGCCCCUAUCUCCAAAUACGGUCAGAUUCUAAGAUACUGGAGGUUAGGACCUCAACAAAUAAAUUUGGGGGGCUCACUAUUCAGCCCAUAACACAGUCACUUAUAGAUCCCCCCCAGAUGCUUAGUGUCAUGUGAAUGCCACCCCAAACCAGAAUAAAAUCAGGCAAUUCCCAGGCUCGCCUCAGUGGUCCAAGAAUAACUCACCUUCCACCAGCAACAGGAAUGGGUAGUGGAUGAACUCUGCGGCCAGCCUGCCUGGGUUCAAAUCACAGCUCUGCUACUUACUAGUUGAUGACCUUGCAAGGAUGACUUAUUCUCUCUAUGCCUGAAUUUUCUCAUUUAUGAAAUCAAUAGUAAUCUUCACCGGAUAAUGUUUUUAUGAGAGUUUCAUGAGUGAAUGCAUGUAAAGAUCUUAGAUGGUACCUGGUACCUAAUAAAUGUUCAACACGUGUUAAUUGUGACAUCCCAUUGGUGCACCGGCUCCUGGCUGGGAUGGAGGUGGUAGGCAAUAGAAGAAAAUAGGUCAAGAAGGCUUUUACCAAGGAAAAAUAAGGUCUAAAGGCUUUUCUCAGCAUUUUGUGAAGUCCAUAGGCAGGGCUACAUUCAUUCUCCAAAUGGCUACAUGGGCUACAAAAGUCUAAGCCUUCACCUUGGGGUCAUCAUUCAGCAUAUCCUGAGUGCUGGGCGGGAGGAGAGAGCUGGGUUCUGUUCAGAGCUAGCAGAGGAGCAGGGAGCCUGUGCAAAUCACAGGAACACAGAGGGCCUGAGACUGAACCACGUGGUUUAUUAAUACAAAGCCACACUGGCCUGGCUGGGGGUGGGAAAGGAAGAUGAGGAGGAUCUUGCAAGCAGUGAAGGAUUACGAGACCUAUUGAGUCAAAUCCUGCCUUGGAGGAGUGUCCCCACAGGGCUGUGACUAGGGUAAAGCCAGUGAGGCACUGAUCCCAGGCACAAAAUGUAAGGGGGUGUCAAAACUCAAUAAAAAAGAUAAAAAUAACAAUUUAACCGAGUUCCUUUAAAAAUCAAUGUUACUG
This 5675-nucleotide long non-coding RNA is filed under the name Sus scrofa (pig). Its description in RNAcentral is "lncRNA (ENSSSCG00000054311.1)". Lineage: Eukaryota; Metazoa; Chordata; Mammalia; Artiodactyla; Suidae. The record is from RNAcentral.